Molecule: unclassified non-coding RNA, 378 nt
Filed under: uncultured Pseudomonadota bacterium
Lineage: Bacteria; Pseudomonadati; Pseudomonadota
Description: uncultured proteobacterium contains 16S-23S intergenic spacer region
Source: RNAcentral
UCUCGGCUUAUCACCGGCAGUCCCCCUAGAGUGCCCAACUGAAUGAUGGCAACUGAAGGCAAGGGUUGCGCUCGUUGCGGGACUUAACCCAACAUCUCACGACACGAGCUGACGACAGCCAUGCAGCACCUGUCUCCGUGCCCCUUGCGGGGAAAACCCAUCUCUGAGCCGGUCACGGGAUGUCAAGGGCUGGUAAGGUUCUGCGCGUUGCGUCGAAUUAAGCCGCAUGCUCCGCCGCUUGUGCGGGGCCCCGUCAAUUCCUUUGAGUUUUAGCCUUGCGGCCGUACUCCCCAGGCGGGGCACUUAAUGCGUUAGCUUCGACACCGAUGGGGUCGUUCCCACCGGCAUCUAGUGCCCAUCGUUUACGGCGUGGACUAC